Molecule: unclassified non-coding RNA, 3887 nt
Filed under: Leishmania donovani
Lineage: Eukaryota; Euglenozoa; Kinetoplastea; Trypanosomatida; Trypanosomatidae
Description: gene:LdHU3.05.0380(CDS-product:DNA_replication_li censing_factor_MCM8_putative)
Source: RNAcentral
ACGCCUCGAGCGCCACUCCACGCAUCCGCUCAAGCUCACGUGGACGUGCUGGCAGGCGUCACUGGCGCGCUGACGUUACCUGUCACCCGCACAUGGCAGGCACCUAUAUGUAUACGCUGAAAGACAUGGGCACGCGCACACUCGCAUGAAGACGAUGAAUGGAGGUUCUUUGAAGAGGCUGGCAGUGCUCUCGGACAGCAAGCGCCCACCCCCUUCCUCCCUUCUCUCUCCUCCCUCCCAACGCACACGUCGACAAGCACAGCGCACAACCAAGCACACGCGCAUCAAGCAGACGUGAGCUCUUCUCCAUACCUCCCUCCUCUCCGACUACCCAACCUCAACCACCUCCCCCCCCCACCACUCCCACUCCCCCUUCUCGCUCUCUCGUGCCUGACCACUCGCACUCAACGAUGAGCACGAAUACAUGCAUACGUGCAUACACAUGCUCCUCAUACCCUCCUCGCCCUCCGUGCGCUCGCUCGCGCACCAACGCCUCACUAUCCGCUGAGACGGUGCGGUAGCCGCACCGCUUCACGGAACACACACGUACACGUAUAGAACUCGCGUCUACAUCCGUCACCCUCCUUUUCUCAAGACUGCCAGGCUCGCCAUGGGCGGCAGACAAGGUGGUGAUGGUGCAACGGGAGCCAAGUCCGCCGGGCUGCCAGCAGCCGCCGCAGCAUCGGCGAAGGCCGAUGCGUGGAUGGACGCGCUCUGGGAGAUCCACUGCGGCACCCCCCUCGCCGGCGCGGUGCGCUACACCGACGCCAUCGUCAAGACCAUGUGGGAGGUGUUUCAACCGCUCCUCAGUGAGCUGGAUGUAUACCCGCUCGCCAUUGCCGAUGUGCAGCCGGAGACGGUGACGGCGACGACAGCCGCCACGGUGCCCUUCACGGACUUUAUCGUUCUCCGUCUUAUCGAGCCUGCAACGCCUGCCAGACAUGGGCACAGACAACGCGGUGGUGACCAUGGGGACGUUGAGGAGGACCCCCAAAACGAGUUUGGCAACGCCUUGACCGCGGUGAUGCGCACCGCACUACUCGAGCAGCCUUACAUCGUGCUCUCCCUCGUGGAGUUCUUCACCGCAGUGUGGCUGUACCAGUACGAAGCACGGAAGCUAAGCACGUCGCAGAAUGUGCCGCACGGCAAGCGGCGCCAAGGCGACGGUGGUGCACAACGCGCAAGGUCUCCCACAGUAGCAUCAGCGGCAUCGCGGGCACCGGCGCUUCGCCGCGUAUAUGCGGCCGUGAGCGGUGAUGUGCGCCACGCAACGCCGUUCGACCACCUCGGUGCUGCACAGCUCGGGCGCGUGCUGACGAUCAAAGGAACGGUCGUCCGCAUGAGCCCGGCGCGCAUCUCGUGUGUGUGUAUGUCGUACCGCUGCGGUCACUGCGGCGUCGUAAAGAAGCAGACGACCCAAGACGGCGUGCUCACCUACCCGGGCCCGUGCGCGAGCGCGCGCUGCCGCGGCUACAAGUGGACUCCGCUAACGGAUCAGGCGGUAUGCGAGGAGGUGCAGCUGCUUCGGCUGCAAGAGCACACGACCUUCUUUGACGCGUCCUCAUCGCCGGCCUCGCCUAGCGGCGGCAGCGGCGGCAGCGGCGCCACUCAGCAGCACGGCGGUGGUGGCAAUAGAGGCAACGCUGGCGGCAGCGACAGCCAACGCAUGGGCAGUGGUGGCAUGCACGUCAUGAUCGAGGUGGAGCUGCGGGCGCCGUGGCUCGACGCCGUCACGGUGGGCGACUGUGUGUGCGUGUGUGGCGUCUUAGAGACGCGGCGGGGCGAGGGUAAGCAAGGCGGCGGCAUGCAGCAGGUGUGCCUGCGCGCCAGGGCGGUGCGGAGUCUGCGCAGCCAGGAGACCUCUGCCAGCUCGCCCUCCUUGAGCAGCAUCGCAGCUCUGCAGCGCCGCCAACGCGACGGAGCGCUCCUCUCCGCAACUAUAGGUCCAGGUGGUUGCCGCGACGGCCCAUGGCGGCUGGCGCACGGCGGCGGAUUCGCCGUGCUCGCGGAUGGUACCAGCACUGGUGGUGCUCUGCGCGGCGACGGUGAAGGGGAAGCGGACGACGAGCUGAUGCUUGGGGCUGCCGCACAGCUCGGCGGCGUCGGACCCACGGCCAUGGCAGCGGCGGCUGCCGCGUCUGCCAUCACGGCGCUGCCGUCUGGCGCCCGUGUCUCCUUCUCCUCCGGGUUCGACACCUGGUCUGCCGAGGAGAUGGGGCGCUUCUACGAAGUUGCGCGGCACCCGCAGUGGUUUGCGCGACUGACGGCCUCAGUGGCGCCGUCGAUCUUCGGCAUGGAGCUGGUGAAGCAGGCUCUGCUGCUCUCCAUUGUCGGCGGCAACCGUGAUAAGAAUGGCGGUGAGACGCGCAGCAGCAUCCACGUCCUGCUUGUCGGCGAUCCCGGGCUUGGCAAGUCACAGCUGCUUCGUGCGGCCUGCGCUGUAGCGCCGCGCAGUGCGUUUGUGUGCGCGCACACGUCGUCGUCUUGCGGCCUCACCAUGACGCUGACGCGGGACCCCGUAUCGGGCGAGACGACGUUCGAGGCCGGCGCCGUCGUGCACGGCGAUGGCGGCAUCACGUGUCUCGACGAGAUCGACAAGGGCGUGCAGGAGCACAAGGCGCUGUUGGAGGUGAUGGAGCAGGAGACGGUGAGCCUCGCCAAGGCGGGCAUGAUAUUCUCCAUGCCCGUGCGCACCUCCAUCCUGGCUGCCGGCAACCCCAUCGGCGGCCGCUUCGACGCGCGCAAGUCCCUCGCCGCCAACGUGAACCUCUCCCCGGCGCUGCUCACCCGCUUUGACAUCAUCGCGUGCCUGCGCAACCCCCACGGGAACAGCGGCAAGGCGCAGCAGGCGCUGACGGACCACAUCCUCCAGUGGCAUCGCCGUGGCCCCGCGGCUGGGGACGGCGGUGAGGGCGGCAACGGUGACGGGCAGGGCCGCGGACACGGCGCUGGUCCUCUGCCGCUCCCGCUCGUGCAGCGCUUUCUUCUCUUCUGCCGCUCGCAGUGCCAGCCAACGCUCUGUCGUGAGGCGUGCGACGUCCUGCAGGCGCACUACCUCGCGCAGCGUCAGCACCUGCCUGAACCGCAGUACGGGCUCGCGCACGGCGCCACGGCUAGCUGUGCUGGUGGUGCGGCAGGUCAUCUCUCAGAUUCUGGCAGUGUCUCGGGGCCACUUCCCCGAGCUGCCAUGGGGCUUGAGGCUACCGUGACCCCGCGCUACCUGCAGGCUCUCAUUCGCGUCGCCGAGGCGCGAGCGAAGCUGGAGCUGCGCCACGUGGCCACCAGAGAAGAUGCCGAGUACGCGGUGCAGCUGCUGCAGUCGUGUCUGAACUCUUUCGACGGUCUUGCCGCGUCGGGCUCAGCGGCGGAUGUCGGCGCAGGCAGGAGGCCCGCAAAGCUGAACCAACGCGAUGCCGUGCUGCAGCGACUCAAGCUCGCCAUCGUCGAGGACAACAGCGGCGUCAACCUGCUCACGGAGCAGGCAAUCCUGGACGUGUGCGAAUCCGUCGGCUGCCGCAGCGCCGCGGCGAUGCUCCGCCAGCUGAAUGAGCACGGCUUUCUCUUGCAGAAGGGCAACAAUAAGUACUGCCUCCGAGGGUGCUGAGGUUGGGCGAGAAGUUGAAAGCGUGUUGAAGUAGACGGCAGCGCCGGACGCUUACGCCGCUGCAUGCAUAUGUGCUUCUGUGCUACCCCCCCCUCAUUCUCUUCGCUUCAGCUUCUUCGACGGACGCCGACGCCUCACUGGUCCAGAGCGGAGGUGUGCGCAUACUGUUCUGCUCACAUAUCGUGUCACUGCGUUUUCCGUACGUCCCGCCCUCCUCCUGCUUCUGCUUGCUCGUCGCGUGCCGGCGCACGUUUCGACGCACAACGAUCGCCGUUGCGCUCUC